Molecule: regulatory RNA element, 110 nt
Organism: Fibrella aestuarina
Lineage: Bacteria; Pseudomonadati; Bacteroidota; Cytophagia; Cytophagales; Spirosomataceae
Rfam family: SAM riboswitch aptamer (S box leader)
About the family: The SAM riboswitch is found upstream of a number of genes which code for proteins involved in methionine or cysteine biosynthesis in Gram-positive bacteria. The SAM riboswitch acts at the level of transcription termination control. The predicted structure consists of a complex stem-loop region followed by a single stem loop terminator region.
Source: Rfam
GAUUUAUACAGAUGAGGGGAGAGACCAGGCUCUGCGAACCUCAGGCAACCUACCCAUUGGCAAGGUGCUACAUCCUGCCCACAGCAUGGUGCUGCUGGGAGAUAUAAACC